GAAUUCGCCCUUAGAGUUUGAUCCUGGCUCAGAACGAACGCUGGCGGCGUGCUUAACACAUGCAAGUCGAGUGCGCGUGCCGUAGCAAUACGGCAUGGCGCACGGCGCACGGGUGCGUAACACGUGGGUAACCUGCCCUUUGGUGGGGAAUAACCCCGGGAAACCGGGGCUAAUUCCGCAUAAGAUCCGCAAGGAUGAAAGCCGCAAGGCGCCGAAGGAGGGGCCCGCGCCCGAUUAGCUAGUUGGCAGGGUAACGGCCUACCAAGGCUAUGAUCGGUAGCUGGUCUGAGAGGAUGGCCAGCCACACUGGAACUGAGACACGGUCCAGACUCCUACGGGAGGCAGCAGUGGGGAAUCUUGCGCAAUGGGCGAAAGCCUGACGCAGCGACGCCGCGUGGGGGAUGAAGCUUCUCGGAGUGUAAACCCCUUUCGAUCCGGACGAAUGCCCGCAAGGGACUGACGGUACGGAUAUAAGAAGCCCCGGCUAACUACGUGCCAGCAGCCGCGGUAAGACGUAGGGGGCCAGCGUUGUUCGGAAUUACUGGGUGUAAAGGGUUCGUAGGCGGUGCAGCAAGUCGGGAGUGAAAUCUAUGGGCUUAACCCAUAGGCUGCUUCCGAAACUGCUGUGCUUGAGUGUGGGAGAGGCGCGUGGAAUUGCAGGUGUAGCGGUGAAAUGCGUAGAUAUCUGCAGGAACACCCGUGGCGAAAGCGGCGCGCUGGACCAUUACUGACGCUGAGUGAACGAAAGCUAGGGGAGCAAACAGGAUUAGAUACCCUGGUAGUCCUAGCCCUAAACGAUCAGGACUUGGGGUGCCACCCGUUCGGGUGUCGUCCCGGAGCUAACGCGUUAAGUCCUGCACCUGGGGAGUACGGUCGCAAGACUGAAACUCAAAGGAAUUGACGGAAGGGCGAAUUC
RNAcentral lists this ribosomal RNA (916 nucleotides) under uncultured bacterium. RNAcentral's name for it is "bacterial SSU rRNA". It matches the Rfam family "Bacterial small subunit ribosomal RNA", at positions 1 to 928 of the family's 1533-position model. The record is from RNAcentral.